GCCAGUUUGGCUCAGUGGAUAGAGCAUCGGUCUGUGGACUGAAGGGUUCUGGGUUCGAUUCCAGUCAAGGGCA
Myotis davidii is the source of this 73-nucleotide non-coding RNA. The record is from Rfam. Lineage: Eukaryota; Metazoa; Chordata; Mammalia; Chiroptera; Vespertilionidae.